UGGGGUGUGACUCUGUAGUAGAGCAUUUGCCAGGCAUGCAUGAGGCCCUGGGUUUGAUUCCCAGCACCACAC
This 72-nucleotide transfer RNA is filed under the name Urocitellus parryii (Arctic ground squirrel). RNAcentral's name for it is "Spermophilus parryii (Arctic ground squirrel) tRNA". It matches the Rfam family "tRNA". From Rfam's summary of the family: Transfer RNA (tRNA) molecules are approximately 80 nucleotides in length. RNAcentral also lists the same sequence under 1 other name. The record is from Rfam by way of RNAcentral. Lineage: Eukaryota; Metazoa; Chordata; Mammalia; Rodentia; Sciuridae.